GCUAUGAGAUAACGCAGAAAAUUAAUCAAAAGACGCCAAAACUGACGUUUUUACGAUUUGAGGAGCAUAAUGUCGACGUGUACAGUGUGCAGUCUCACUGUCAAUUCCCCGGAACAGCUGCAGCAGCAUAUGAAAGGAAAAGCACACAAGAAGAAGAUGAUGGCUGCAGGACUGCCUGUGGAGGCUUUGCAAGAUUGUGAUAUAUAUGACUCAACAAGACUUUGAUCGUGCCAUUCCUGCAACAUUCUGGUGCCAGUGACAAGUUCCAUAUGGCAGUUGAAGACACAGCAUCAAGAGUGUGCACAA
Haliotis rubra (blacklip abalone) is the source of this 306-nucleotide long non-coding RNA. RefSeq lists it as uncharacterized. Lineage: Eukaryota; Metazoa; Mollusca; Gastropoda; Lepetellida; Haliotidae. The transcript has 3 exons. The record is from RefSeq and is a predicted model, not a curated record.